GCUGUUGUGUGUUUUUUCAUAAGGGUCCCAAACUAUACCGAGAUUUGGAAUAUUACGUUACAGUCCUGCAGGAAAAUGGCGACUGUCAUUCAUAAUCCUCUAAAAUCGCUGGGUGACCAGUUCUACAAGGAGGCCAUCGAACACUGUCGCAGCUACAAUGCCCGUCUCUGUGCCGAGCGCAGCGUGCGCAUGCCCUUCCUGGACUCGCAAACCGGCGUGGCACAGAACAACUGCUACAUCUGGAUGGAAAAGCGCCAUCGCCAGCCAGGCCAGGCCGCAGGACAGAUGUAUACCUACCCUGCUCGUUGCUGGAGAAAGAAGAGGCGACUCCACCCUCCUCUGGAUCCCCAGCUCCGCCUGUGUGAGCUUCGACUAGAAGCCGAGCUGGCCCCCAAGCGUGAGGUGCCCCCAGGGGAGGCUACAGCCUUGGAGGCCCUCCUGAGGGGGGACAGCCUGCUGGAGAAAAAAAACAGCUUCAAUAAGGAAGAGGAGACGUUGCUGGAAAUACAGAGAGUACUGGAGGCGGAAGAAAAUGGGGACGGUUUCCAUGAUGAUGAAGACUUUGAACUGGAUACUCCAAAGAGAAAGAACAGAAACAGAGGCAAAAACAGAGGAAGUCGCAGGAGGACAGAACCUGUUAACAUCGAUGACCAGGACAAACCUUACGUCUGUGACAAUAGAUACAAACAAAAGCAUAACUCAAAAAAGGCUGAAGAAGUAUGUGGAAAGCGCUACAAGAACCGGCCUGGCCUAAGCUACCACUACACCCACACUCACCUGGCAGAGGAGGAGGGUGAGGAGGAGAAAGAACCAGAGAUGGCUCCAUCUCCUCCACAGAGCUCGGACAACCACAAACGUAAGAUGCUACAUAGACCUCAGAAGGGCCCUGAUGGCGCCGUUAUCCCCAACGACUACUGUGACUUCUGCCUGGGAGACCAGGACUCCAACAGGAAGACAGGCCAGGCCGAGGAGCUGGUGUCCUGCUCUGACUGUGGACGCUCUGCUGGAAGAGGAGGAGUGAAGAAGGAUGGGAGGAAGAUGAGUGCUCUCGAAGAAUUGUUCAGCAACACGUCAGACAGCGAGGCCUCCACGUUUCAAGGCUUUGAAGAAGCAGAGCUGGAAGACAUUUUGUUGUCAGACGAUGAUGAUGCUGUGGCUGACAGCUGAUAACACGAUGGCUUGACUAGUUGGACCGUGUGGCAAUAAAAAUCUGAAGGCUGAAGGCACAGACUGGACUACAGUGGCUCACCUUGAAGAUGCCUCUACCUGAAAAGUCACUGGAAUAUUCUGAACUCUUUUAUUUACACAUGAAGCCAGCUUCUUCUUGAAAAUGAUGGAUACAAUGGCUUUUUUUCUUCUUUUUUUUUUUUUUGCUUAUAUGGAUUUUGCUGUUAAGACAUUUUCCAAUUUUCAUAAAACAAAAGCAAACUCCUUACACUCGACUUUGCUUGCAUCAGAUAAUCAAGAUCAUAGGCUAAACUUCAUGGCUACAUCCUAAUUAAUUUUGGACUGAAAAGAUUAAUAGCAGACAUGGUGGACCAGAGAAAAUGGAGUAAAUUGUGGCAGGGGGAGGGAUGAACGUGGACUUUUGAGUCACUCCAUUGGCUAAAGAGGACAGGUAGUCGAGAGGUCACCCCACAUGCCUGCAGUUCACUGAGAACAUGAUGCAGGCGGUGAGGACGUACCAGUGGCAGUGCAUCGAGUGCAAGUCUUGCAGUCUCUGUGGAACCUCAGAGAACGAUGACCAGCUGCUGUUCUGUGAUGACUGU
Seriola aureovittata is the source of this 1769-nucleotide RNA transcript. It is a transcript of the gene named double PHD fingers 3, with no coding region annotated. The transcript is spliced from 12 exons. NCBI's taxonomy places the organism in Eukaryota, Metazoa, Chordata, Actinopteri, Carangiformes, Carangidae. The record is from RefSeq and is a predicted model, not a curated record.